RNA transcript from Tripterygium wilfordii, 1702 nucleotides. RefSeq lists it as uncharacterized. The record is from RefSeq and is a predicted model, not a curated record. The transcript is spliced from 6 exons. Lineage: Eukaryota; Viridiplantae; Streptophyta; Magnoliopsida; Celastrales; Celastraceae.
GAACCAAUAAAACGAGACGAAAGGGAUCGUUCGAGAAAACGUAAUUUGAGAUUUGACCAAUUUCUACGUCGGUUAGGGUUUGAAAGUGCCCCUUUGAAAUCCCGGUUAGCUAGAUUUUGAACUCUUUUGCGGAAACAGUUUUGAAGAUUAUUUCGAUCGGCGCGGCAGAUAUACUAUUGACGAUCGGAAAAAUCAUUCGAAGAGAGGUAAGGCUUGUGUACAUCUUGCACAUCUGUUUGGAGGUCAGUUGCAUUCUAUUGAUACUGCAGUCAUAAUGAGAUUAACAAAAGGAACUAGAGUUGAAGUACUGAGCGGAAAGGAGGUUGUAAUGGGUGCUUGGCUCUGUGGUGAGAUAGUAUCUGGGAAUGGGCACAUGUACAGUGUCAAGUGUGGUCGGUCUGCACUAACCAAGGAGGUAGUAGUUGAGAGAGUUCCUAGGAAGGCUAUUAGGCCAUGCCCGCCUCCUGUUGAAGGGGCAGGCAAAUGGGCCCCUGAUGAUCUUGUUGAGGUAUUUCAUAACCUGUCUUGGAAAAUGUCAAGAAUAGUGGAAGAUGUUGGUGGGAAUGUCUUUUCUGUUAGGCUACUUGGGUCUCCCCAGGUGUUCAGAGUUCAUUCCUCUUACUUGAGAGUUCGACAGUCUUGGGAACAUGGCAAGUGGUUCGUGGUCGGAAAGGGCUCAGAAAAUAACACUAUGUCUAUGGGAAAAAGGGUGCCUAUCACAAGGAUUAAGGUACGUAUAGGAGAUGAUCUUUUGUUUGACAAGGAAGACAAAGAAACUCAAAAGCAUCAUGUGGUUUUCUCCAGAAAUCUGAAAAGACGGUCACCUUUUGGCUUCUCUUGUAUUGAAGAAGAGAAAGUGGCUUCUAAAAAGAAUAGAUCGGAUGAAAAAGAUGGUAGCAGUAGACAAAUUUCUCCUCUUCAUCCUUCUCUAACUUCUGAAAAGGUCUCAAAAUGGUGUGACCAAGUUUGUCACCUCAUUCUGUGGAGAUGGGGAUCACAUCUGCACAUGAUGUUCUGCUACUUUCAGUGCCAAACUAUUGAUCAAUUUGGCAUUGUUCUUAACGUUUGGACAAGUCUUUUGGGUGGGCAUCACAGAGCUGGAGGUUCAAGGAUGAAAACAAUUACCUUGUGCAACAAUGCUGGAGGUACAAGAGUAAGACUGUCUCUGAAAAUUUUUUUAUUAGUCUUUUUGGUUGAAUGUGCUUUGGUGCAGUCGUAACAAUUUUUUCAGACAUCACAAUUUCGCACCUGUGGAGCACAUAAGUCUUGUAGAUUGUCCAUUUGUCCUUAGAAGAUCAAAGGUUGAUGGUACUGUGUUUUACCACCUCCCUUGUGAUCACAACCUUUACUCAUGCAUGUUAUGAGAUCUACUGCAGAUUGAUGGCACUUGGUCUUGAAGUGAAAUACCAUAGCCUGAGUCGUUUGGCCAUCAUGGAGCCUUGAUUCUGUUGCAUGCCUUGAUCGGAUUUAUAUAGACCUUAGAUGAGCUUUGCUUCAAAUGAUGAAGAUUAUGAUCAUACGAAUCAUCUAUUCAAUUGUUAGACACUUCAAGUUUUAUCUAAUGAACUUUUGAUGCUGGUUGGUGGAUUGGAUAAGCAUGUCUUAUUUAAUAUGCACUGAGAUGCCAACUUGGGUUGUUAUUUUAGUUGUAAGAAAACAUAUACUGAAUCAUCUAUUGGCAAUGUACAAAAAAUUCUGGCUC